Long non-coding RNA from Ruditapes philippinarum (Manila clam), 1132 nucleotides. RefSeq lists it as uncharacterized. Lineage: Eukaryota; Metazoa; Mollusca; Bivalvia; Venerida; Veneridae. The record is from RefSeq and is a predicted model, not a curated record. The transcript has 3 exons.
UGCAAUGUUUACAUCGGCGAAUCACAGGGGCAUUUUGUACAAUGGGGCUGCAUAUCAUGUCAUCUAAAUGUGUUAAUUGUAGUCAAUUAUCGGCAGUGUUAUGCCUAGAGGCAAGGAUAAGAUUAUUUACAAACGCUGUGUGAUACGUAAAGAUAUUUUCACGCGUGAAAUGGUCAGAAAGCAGACACACAUAUUGUUUGACAUACAUUUUGCCAUUUUGUUUCACUGAGACUGAUCAACAGAAUUGCAAAGGCAAAGAGGAGAUACUAAGCUUUAUCAGACAAAAUCAACUGGAGUCACUCAAAACCUUCACAGAAAAAGAAAAAAGUACUUAAAAGACUCGAGCAAAAUUAUUUAAUACAAAACUGCAAGGGAAAAAAACUUGUAAGGCCAUGAAAUAAAUGGCGAUCAAAAACAUAAAGAUACUUUUUUUCAUCUUUGUUAAGUGAUUUGUGAAUUAUUAGAUUUUCUUUAAGAUGUUCUCAGCUCUCUUUGAGUAAAAUACUUUUAAUGUAGAAAUUUAUUGGAGUCUAUAAGUCGUACUGAAUAUGUCUAAUUAGUGUAUUGAAAGCUGCGUUCUAUUUAGUAUGGGUCAAGUUAAGAUAGUCAUUUCUUAAACGAUGCUAUGCAUUAAUACUGUCUUUAUCUAUAGUGUGUAGAGUUCAAAACGUGUUCCCAAUACAUGUUCAAUUUACAUUAACAAAGAGACUAUGUAGGAAUUAUCAUUAAUGUCAAAUAUCAAAUUUGAGCAUAAUAUAUCUUUAAAGAUAGCUGCACUAUAUAUUUUGACCGGAUGUGUUUACAUAAUUCUAAACUAAGAUUAGAAAGAACUAGCACUGCCCUUUUUAUACGGAACUGCGAAAUGUAAUUGCUGGUACAUUAUUUGAUUUUAAAAGUCUGGCUAGACAUUUGCUUAGUGUUUGUUUACAUUAUCAUAGACAGGAAAAAAGUUUAAAUAGCUCUAUACCGAUGGCCUCUUUAAUAUCAGCGCAUUUGCUCAGUGAAAGAGCGCUCGCCUCAAGAUAUUGAGGUCCUGGGUGCGAAAUUCUAGAUAAAGUGAAUGCAAUAUAUUAAAAUCUAAUCUGAAGUCUGCGACUUAUUUGAUAUAUGUCUUUGAAAUGAAUUUUUGCUU